AAUCGAAGCACUAACCCAUCGUUAUAUAAGAUCUACUCGUCGAGAAAAACAGAGAGUGUACUUUGUGUUGUAAAGAACAGUGGAAGUAAGAUAAAACACUUGUUCAGUUUCAAGUUUUAGGGGUGUGGUUUGGGAAUCGAUUCAAACACUUCAAGUCCUCUGCUGCGCCUGAGUCCGAAAGAUUUCACAAAGCUCUCCUUUUAGUGUGAAGUCGUCUCCUUUGCUCGUGUGUUCUCGGUCGCUGCCCUUGAGAAG
Molecule: unclassified non-coding RNA, 255 nt
Filed under: Hevea brasiliensis (rubber tree)
Lineage: Eukaryota; Viridiplantae; Streptophyta; Magnoliopsida; Malpighiales; Euphorbiaceae
Source: RNAcentral